CUGCAGUUUAGAGAGGGUAGAGUGAUGUUUGGGCUCACUCUCUUUGGGGGUAUGCUCUGGCAAAGCUCUUCUUUGGAGUCCCUGGGUUCUAGUGUCCUAGGCAGCCCAAAGUCAUGGCUUGAGAUUUUCCACCAUGUUGCAUGCCCUGUAGUAUGCCAGGAAGUACCCUGCCUGAGCUGGAGCACACACCCACAGGCUAAGAAUGAGAUUCUGACAGUUCAGCUGUCCCUGUGUUACUGGAGAUACCCCCUCCAAGACAGCUGCCCUUUCCAAGCUGUAGUUGUUUACCUCCAUGAAGGAUGAGGACACUGGGAUGAGGCUCCAGGUGAUGGCUCAAAGUCUGAACUUGUCCAGGGCACCUGCUCUGCAGCCUUCCAGACACCAGAGGCUGACGACUGGGUAGAUCAGAACAUCAGGAUGCUGAAUGCCUGGUCUCCAAGAAAACUAGCUUAACACAGUCUCCUCAAAUAUAUAUAUCCCUCCCACAUCCACCUGGUUCCUAGCAUGGCUCUAGGGGAAUUUAGCACAUGCAGUAACAGAGACACAAACUUUUGAGGAAAAGCCAGUAAAUUCGCCAGAUAUAAUAAAAAGCAUUUCUGCUUGCCCCCUGCCUCUUCCCUUUGGACUAGCUUUCUUUAUAUGCUUUCUUUUCUUCAAUUAAAUUUCCCAUUUUAAAUCUGUAAUCAGUCCAUGAUUUAUUGUGGAUCAUGGUGGCAAGGUGUAAAGCUUAGGAAAGACUUUUUUUCCCACUAAUAUUUAUUUAUUUAUGAGGGAGGAAGAUGGAGGGCUAGAGGGAGGCAACAUCCUGGAUCGCUCUGUGAUCCAGAUCUCACCUAGUCAGAAUACUGCAUCUCUGAGAGUGUUAGAAGACCCCUACACACCUGCUCUCUGCAGAAAUCACCAGCACUGUGACCCUGCACAGGGUUCUGGACCUCAGUUUUAGAGCAGGACACCCAGCAUUUGAGCAGGACCCAAAGCCCAAAGUUCUAGCCAAAGCAGGGUUCAUGAGCACCUUAACAGAAUCACCUAUGAACACAUCUGCAGAUCUCCAAGACUUUGCUCUACUCCCAUGCUGGUCACUCAGCUGCUACCCACCCACAGCACAAUGCCAUCGUCCAGCUUCCCCCACCUCACCAGACACCCUGGCACUGAAAGAAGACUGCCUCCAUCUUGGCUCAACAGUCUCACCAUAUUAGGUGGGGGAAGCUCCCAGAUCAGAUCUUCAGCAGCCAGGUACCAAAAUCCCAACCUUCCCCCCUCUUCAGCAUUGUUAACCCAACACAGUAGCUGCCCAACACAGGUGUGCAGUGUGACCAGGGAGCUUCCCACGGGAGCCCCUGUGUGAGAGGUUCCUCAAUUGAGAACUGCUAAGGGAGAAAGGACGAAAGUUUGGAGCCUAACAGAGAGACCAGGAACUGGGGAAUCUCCAGGCAAGAUACGGAGAUAGUACCAGGUGCUCAAGUCAUAGAAGUCACCCCCCAAAAGAGACUCAUGAGGUGCAGUCUCCCUGCAGGGACUGGCAGGUGCUAUGCCCUGCUUCCAGAAUCACUGCACCAGGACCAAUCUUUUCACCCUGGUUACCUCCACCCUCCUGAGGGCAGAGACAUCAGCUUACAACAGACAACACCUUCUAUUGGAUGAGAAGAGAAGCAGGAAAGAUACAGAUCUCUAAAACUAGCAACAACCUCAGUUUCUUCCUUUGAGAUAUGUUCCCCUCUUCUACUCCUCUAUUCUCCAGCCCUCACAUCUGCAACAUAUGUGAAAACAAGAACUUUGCAUGAAAUAGGACUUAGAGGACUGAGUCAUCUGAAUAAUAUAGAGUUGUUGUAUCUGCUCUUUUUUUCCUUUUCUUUUCCUUUUUCUUCUUUCAUUUUUCUUUCCCCUUCCAUAACUUGCUAUUUUAACAUGUGCAUUUUUCUAAAUAUAUAUGUGUGUGGGUUUUAUGUACUCUACUGUCUUCCCAAGUACUUGUCUACCCUAAAUUACUUCCGGUCUAUUCCUUUGCUACUAACCCUCUCCAUUAGAUUUCUUCUUUACACUACCUAAGGUAUAUUAACUCUAUAUCCUCACAUCCUACUUCCUCAGGAUAUCAUCUUAUACUCCACUCCCAGUUCAUUGUCCACCAUCAGAAACAGUAAACCUUUUUACAAAACUACUGAUUAUAUUUUAGAUAAUAAUUGAAUCCAACAUUUCUGUACAUUGAGACUAAACUGUAAACGUCUUAAUAACAACAAGUUGUUCAUAGGUGGUAUAUUGUUGAUAUUGGGUUCUGUUAACAUUGUCCUUCCCCACAAAGGAAAAGACCCCCACAAAGGAAAGGUCUUGUAACCCUACAAGAGCACUACAAACCUAUAGGGUAAAACCAAUAAUACUCCAGACCCACAGAGAUGAAAAGGAAGACACAUAAGCAACUUGAAAAGAAAAAGAAAGAAAAUGCCCCAAAUAAAUCAAGACACCACAUCAUUAGAAUCAUUGGCAGUCACAUCAGAAGAAAUUACAGAUAAGGAAUUCAGGGUGUACAUGGUUAUAAUGUUCUGUGAACUCAAGGAAGAUGUAAGAGAGCAAAUACAGGCAGUGAAAGAUCACUUUGACAAAAAGCUACAUAAACAAACACAGGAAGCAAAAGAUCAUCUCAACAGGGAGAUAGAGGUUCUAAAACAAAACAAAACAAAAAAACCCGCAACAAUAACCAAAAAAAAAUCCAGAAACAAUAAACCAAAAUGAAAGCUCAAAUUAAAGUAUCACCAACAGAAUAGACCACUUGGAAGAUAGGACAUCAGACAAUGAAAGCAAAAUAUAUAAUCUUGAAAAGAACAGAGGCCACACAGUGAUAAUGAUAAGAAACCAUGAGCAGAACAGUCAAGAAAUGUUGGAUAGCAUAAAAAGACCAAAUUUAAGAGUUAUUGGGAUAGAAGAAGGCAUAGAGGUCCACAUCAAAGGAAUGAACAAUCUAUUCAAUGAAAUAAUAUCAGAAAACUUUCCAAACAUGAAGAAUGAAUUGAAAAUCCAAAUUCAAGAAGGCUACAGGGUGUCAAAUAUAAAAAGUCACAUCAGAUGCACACCACGGCACAUAAUAAUGAAAACGCCCAAUAUACAGAAUAAAGAGAGAAUUUUAAAAGCCACAAGAGAAAGAAAUUAGAUUACAUAUAGGAGAAAACCAAUUAGGAUAACAGCAGAUUUUUCAACAUAAACCCUGAAAGCUAGAAGAUCCUGGUACAAUAUAUAUCAAGCUCUGAAAGUAAAUGGGUGCCAAUUGAGAAUCUUGUAUCCAGCAAAAUUAAGCUUUAGACUUGAAAAUAAAAUAAAAACCUUCCAUGAUAAAUAAAAGUUAAAAGAAUUUAUAGCUAGAAUACUGGCACUGCAAAACAUCCUUGGAAAAAUAUUCCAUGAAUAGGAAGUGAAAAACAACAAUGAAAAUCAUCAGAGGGUGGUAGUAGUACCCUGAAGGAAAAACUAAUCAAAGAAGAAAAUCAAGUCAAAUUAAAUAACAAAAAUAAUCAAAUAUGGCUGGGAAUACAAACCAGGUCUCAAUAAUAACCCUAAAUAUUAAUGGCUUAAACUCACCAAUCAAAAGACAUAGGCUAGCAGAUUGGAUUAAAAAACAAGAUCCAACAAUAUGCUGCCUCCAGGAGACUCAUAGGAAAAGACAUACACAGACCAAAGGUGAAAGGUUGGGAAAAAUCAUACCACUCACAUGGACUUCAGAAGCAAGCAGGGGUUUCUACCCUCAUAUCAAAUAAAGUAGACUUCAAGCCAAAGUUAAUCAAAAGGGAUAAAGAUGAACAUUACAUAUUGCUCAAGGAAACCAUACAACAACAAGACAUAACAAUCAUAAAUAUAUAUGCCCCAAACAAUGGUGCAGUUAUGUUCAUCAUACAAAUUCUUCUCAAGCUGAUAUUUAUUUAUUUGUAAUUAAUAAUUUAUUUAUUAAUUAAUGGGGGUUGGACCCAAAGUUCUUUACCA
Molecule: long non-coding RNA, 3963 nt
Filed under: Marmota monax (woodchuck)
Lineage: Eukaryota; Metazoa; Chordata; Mammalia; Rodentia; Sciuridae
Source: RNAcentral